This 73-nucleotide transfer RNA is filed under the name Chimarrichthys kishinouyei. RNAcentral's name for it is "tRNA-Pro". Lineage: Eukaryota; Metazoa; Chordata; Actinopteri; Siluriformes; Sisoridae. The record is from RNAcentral.
AUUCCCGGGCCCCGGACCUUGAGUCUGGACGUAAGAUGGGGGGGGAAAGGAGUUAAAAAUCUCUUUUACCUGG